This 376-nucleotide ribosomal RNA is filed under the name uncultured organism. Its description in RNAcentral is "bacterial SSU rRNA". It matches the Rfam family "Bacterial small subunit ribosomal RNA", at positions 526 to 896 of the family's 1533-position model. The record is from RNAcentral.
CGUAGGGGGCGAGCGUUGUCCGAAGUUAUUGGGCGUAAAGGGCGCGUAGGUGGCCCGGUCAGUCUUUGGUGAAAGCGCGGGGCUCAACCCUGCGUCGGCCAGGGAUACUGCCGCGGCUCGAGCACUGUAGAGGCAGGCGGAAUUCCGGGUGUAGCGGUGGAAUGCGUAGAGAUCCGGAAGAACACCGGUGGCGAAGGCGGCCUGCUGGGCAGUUUGACUGACACUGAGGCGCGACAGCGUGGGGAGCAAACAGGAUUAGAUACCCUGGUAGUCCACGCCGUAAACGAUGGGCACUAGGCGCUUGGGGGGAGCGACCCCCCGAGGGCCGGCGCUAACGCAUUAAGUGCCCCGCCUGGGGAGUACGGCCGCAAGGCUG